CCUACGGGAGGCUGCAGUGGGGAAUAUUGGGCAAUGGGCGCAAGCCUGACCCAGCAACGCCGCGUGAAGGAAGAAGGCUUUCGGGUUGUAAACUUCUUUUCUCAGGGACGAAGCUAGCGAUGGCUCCUGAGGAAUCAGCCACGGCCAACUACGUGCCAGCAGCCGCGGUAAUACGUAGGUGGCAAGUGUUAUCCGGAUUUACUGGGUGUAAAGGGCGUGUAGGCGGGAAAGCAAGUCAGAAGUGAAAACCAUGGGCUCAACCUGUGGCCUGCAUUUGAAACUGUGUUUCUUGAGUACUGGAGAGGCAGACGGAAUUCCUGGUGUAGCGGUGAAAUGCGUAGAUAUUAGGAGGAACACCAGUGGCGAAGGCGGUCUGCUGGACAGCAACUGACGCUGAGGAGCGAAAGCGUGGGUAGCAAACAGGAUUAGAUACCCCAGUAGUC
RNAcentral lists this ribosomal RNA (443 nucleotides) under uncultured bacterium. RNAcentral's name for it is "partial 16S ribosomal RNA". It matches the Rfam family "Bacterial small subunit ribosomal RNA", at positions 338 to 795 of the family's 1533-position model. The record is from RNAcentral.